This 324-nucleotide ribosomal RNA is filed under the name Triticum aestivum (bread wheat). RNAcentral describes it as "partial small subunit ribosomal RNA". The record is from RNAcentral. Lineage: Eukaryota; Viridiplantae; Streptophyta; Magnoliopsida; Poales; Poaceae.
AUGGAUGCCCGCAAUCUGCAGACCGUGAUCCUCAAGAUAGCAGUGCCCGUGAUGGCCAUGGUGCUGCUGCUCACGGUGUCGACUGUCUCCAUGACGCCGGACGACUGUGCCUGCGCCUGCCUCCGCGCCUGCUUCUUCGACAGCAACUACUGCCUGAUGAUCUGCGUGCUCUCCCAGAUCAACCUGGGCCGUCUUCUGGCGAGGGAGGCCGCUCUGUCGCCGACGCUGGCGGAUCGGCGCUACUACGCGGUGGGCGCCGUCGCGUGCUUCGUGGAGGUAGCGCUCAAGCUGUACGUGAUCCUGGUUCCGUGCCCCUCGGCUUAG